This 375-nucleotide ribosomal RNA is filed under the name uncultured bacterium. RNAcentral describes it as "bacterial SSU rRNA". It matches the Rfam family "Bacterial small subunit ribosomal RNA", at positions 28 to 400 of the family's 1533-position model. The record is from RNAcentral.
GACGAACGCUGGCGGCGUGCUUAACACAUGCAAGUCGAGCGGUAAGGCCCUUUUGGGGGUACGACGAGCGGCGAACGGGUGAGUAACACGUGGGUGACCUGCCCUCAGCUCUGGGAUAAGCCUGGGAAACUGGGUCUAAUACUGGAUAUGACCUUUCCUCGCAUGGGGGUUGGGUGGAAAGUUUUUCGGCGUGGGGAGUGGGCCCGCGGCCUAUCAGCUUGUUGGUGGGGUGAUGGCCUACCAAGGCGACGACGGGUAGCCGGCCUGAGAGGGCGACCGGCCACACUGGGACUGAGACACGGCCCAGACUCCUACGGGAGGGCAGCAGUGGGGAAUAUUGCGCAAUGGGGCGGAAGCCUGACGCAGCGACGCCGC